Molecule: unclassified non-coding RNA, 254 nt
Filed under: uncultured Acidimicrobiia bacterium
Lineage: Bacteria; Bacillati; Actinomycetota; Acidimicrobiia
Description: contains 16S-23S intergenic spacer region
Rfam family: Bacterial small subunit ribosomal RNA
Source: RNAcentral
UACGUAGGGUCCAAGCGUUAUCCGGAAUCAUUGGGCGUAAAGAGCUCGUAGGCGGUUCAGCAAGUCGGCUGUGAAAGUCCGAGGCUCAACCUCGGAAUUGCAGUCGAUACUGCUGUGACUCGAGUCCGGUAGAGGAGAAUGGAAUUCUCGGUGUAGCGGUGAAAUGCGCAGAUAUCGAGAGGAACACCAGUAGCGAAGGCGGUUCUCUGGGCCGGCACUGACGCUGAGGAGCGAAAGCGUGGGGAGCAAACAGG